Molecule: ribosomal RNA, 497 nt
Filed under: uncultured bacterium
Lineage: Bacteria
Description: partial 16S ribosomal RNA
Rfam family: Bacterial small subunit ribosomal RNA
Source: RNAcentral
GAUGAACGCUGGCGGCGUGCCUAAUACAUGCAAGUCGAGCGAACAGACGAGGAGCUUGCUCCUCUGACGUUAGCGGCGGACGGGUGAGUAACACGUGGAUAACCUACCUAUAAGACUGGGAUAACUUCGGGAAACCGGAGCUAAUACCGGAUAAUAUAUUGAACCGCAUGGUUCAAUAGUGAAAGACGGUUUUGCUGUCACUUAUAGAUGGAUCCGCGCCGCAUUAGCUAGUUGGUAAGGUAACGGCUUACCAAGGCAACGAUGCGUAGCCGACCUGAGAGGGUGAUCGGCCACACUGGAACUGAGACGCGGUCCAGGCUCCUACGAGAGGCAGCAGUAGGGAAUCUUCCGCAAUGGGCGAAAGCCUGACGGAGCAACGCCGCGUGAGUGAUGAAGGUCUUCGGAUCGUAAAACUCUGUUAUUAGGGAAGAACAAAUGUGUAAGUAACUAUGCACGUCUUGACGGUACCUAAUCAGAAAGCCACGGCUAACUACGUG